GUUGUCGAAGCCGGUCAAAAAUAACCUUCUUGGUUAUCAACAAUUUACAACUGCAGAUAGUGGUGAAGGAUCGAAUCCACAGAGAAUUGAUUACCUAUUUAUUUUUCUCAACAAGACCAAUAAAAUAAACUGAAACAAUGAGAUAAACCAAAAAUAAGAUAAACUGAAAGCGGAAUAAAAAUAAAUUACAGUAAAGUAAAAUGGGGGGUUUGAGAUUGAUUUGAUUAAUAAACUACUAAAAGCAAUUAAAAUAAGCGAAUAAUAAAAUAAAAGAGAAAUAAAUAAUAAGAAAGCUCUAGUUAAAGUAUUGGAUCCACUUUAGUCGUUGGGAUUGAUCACAGACACUUUGUUCUUUUGGGUUGAUUCAAAAGAUUAGUUUAUAGAGAUGGAAGACGCUUCUCACCACCAUUAUCUCUCUUUAUGAUUAAACCAAUUAGGGAACGUCCUCUAAUUAAUUACUAAUUAACAAAUUGCCAAGGAACGUCCUUGGGCCUUAGGCAUCAAAACAAUUGUCAAUUGCAUUAAGAAAUAGAGAGACCCAAUCCUAGCUACCCAAACGUAUGGAGAUAAAGCUAGAUCAAACAAUUUCCUUGGGUUUUAUCCCAAGUGUUCUCAUGUAAGAAUAACCCAAGCAAUUACGGACUUAAAUUAUUCAAACUAACAAAUAAUUAUUUUGCAAUAAAAAGUCAACGUAGAUUUCAAUAACAAAAUAAUAUGAGAAUUACAUAUGAAAUUGCAUGAAUAUUGAAUUCCCAAAAUUAAACAAUAUUUGAUCAAGUCUCACAACCCAUUAAACAACUAAAUCUUCAACCAAUAUUCAACUAGAUGAAAGAAAUCAGCCACUCAUUGGCUGAAUUAAAAACAGAAAAAUAAAAUAAAAAAAAAGAAAAAGAAAAGAAAGAAGAACCGAAUUCUUCCUUGCGUCGGGCGGUGGAAGUGCCGAAUUGAAUUUGAAUUGUUCACUGAAGAGCCCUUUUUAUAAGUGCAGAUGCGCUCUAUUUUGGAAUUUCUGGCCACGUGUGGGAGUGGUCCACGUGAGGCGCUGGAGUGCUUCGGGAAUGGGCCAUGUGUGCGGUGAGCGGUCCACGUGAAGUGGGUUUUGCAGAAAUGGGCUGUCCGUGCGCUGGGAAGGGUGAAGUGGAGUGUGGGCCCUGCGCGGGAAUGGGACGCGUGCUUGGUUCCGGGAAUUCAUGAGGAGCUUUGGCGGGGCCCACGUGAAGUGCUUUAAUGCUGGUCUUGAUCCACUGGGGGGGAAUGGCAUUGAAGCGGUGACCAUGUGCAGGAACAGAGUGGGUCCAUGUGCUUGGCUUGGUUUGGCGGGCCCGUGUGCGUGAGUGGGCUGUGACGUGCGUGAAUUGACCCUUGCUUUGGUCCAUUACGUGAAUUGAGCUUUGCUUUGUCCAAUGCGUCGACGAGAAUGGGUUGCCCAUUGCGUGAAGUGCUUGAAUAUUUAAAUUUCCAAAUAUUUUCUUCAUUCAGCUCAUUUUUAAAUCCAAUUUGGUGGACUUGCUCUCUUUUGCUCCAAAUAAGGCUGUUUUAGGGGGAUUUUCUCCAAAUUGUCCUUUUACACCAUUUUCUGCAAAAUAAUAUUAAAAGCACUAAAUUAAGCAGAAAUCAUGUAAAUAUUCAUCAAUAAUAUUAAUAUAAAAUGGACUAAAUUAUGCUCUAUCAAAUACCCCCACACUUAGCCUUUUGCUUGUCCUCAAGCAAAUAAACUUAGUCAAAUAAGCUUCCUUUCUCUAGAUCCUUAUUUCCACUUAAGCUCUUACUCUAGACCCCUAUUUUGAAUCAUUGCAGUGAAGGAUAUAUGCAUGAAGAUUACUCACCUUUCUCCUUGUUUCCCUUUACUUACCAUGGCUAGGUUUUGUUUUCCUCAAAAGAGACCAUGCACAUUAUAUGUUAAGACUUUUUCUAGCUUUUGGUGUGACUUGCCCUUACCUUGAAGUACUUUAUUCAGGCUUUUGCACUUUAAAUCUUGCUUGGAAAGGUCACCAACCUAUUUUUGAUAUACUUUUAGAUAUUUCAGUUGGUCACCUAUCUAAGUGGCUACUAGCCUUGUUCAUAGUCUUUUGACCAUUGGAACAGAUUUUUUUUUUUUUGGGCUUUGAGGGCUUUGCCUUUGCUGAAUUUUCUUUCUCUCAAUGAUUUGGGCAAAUCAACACCUAUUGCUAAAUCAAGUCAUGUUAAGUUCAUUCACACAAUUUUAAUUUUUGUCAUCUUCAAUCGAGUGUCAUCAGUAUAUUUUUCGCCAUUGGCAAGCUCCAAGAUUCAAUUCAAAAGGUAAUUCUCAAAUAUGAAUAUAGCUCACUGUAAUUGAUUCAACAUAAGUUUAAAGAGUUAUCACAUCAAUGGGGUCAUGGAAAGAAAAACUCAUCCAACAUAGUUCAUCAGUUUGAGUAGAGCAAAACAAAAAGAAGAAGAAGGUUGUGGUUGUGUGUGUUUUAUUGAAAGCAAAAACUAAAAAAAUGAAAAUUUUCACCUAAUGCAAGCAAACUAAAGACUAACGCAAAAAUAAAUUUAAAAGUAAAAAUUCAGAGAUAUGCACCCCCACACUUAAAUCAUGCAUUGUCCUCAAUGUAUAAGAAACAUAAAAGAAUAAAGGAAACUGAGUACUUCCCUGGGUGUGGUGUGCAUGGUGGGAUCCACUUGAUCAAUACUCAAGUAAUUGGGGAAGGGAAAAGCGUCCCAACUGCAUUGAGCAAAAAGUGUAGCACUCCUUUUGAUUUGGCCAUUGCCCAUCCUAUUCUUUUCAUGUACUCAUGAAGUAACAUGAUUAGCUUCUCCUCUUUCAGAUGAGGUGUGCCUCUAGCCCUUAUGUUUGCAUUUUUUAGAUGAUUGGGCAGAACUUUGAACUCCAAUUUAUGUUUCUCCAUGUGUAGCUGCAGAUUGGUACUAAAAUCUGGCAAAACAAACUCUACCUUAUCCGGAGGUUUGGGAAGGCAUUGAUCUGCAUGCUCCUUUGGUUUAGGUGCUUGGAACACCAUUUUUUCCUUGUGAGCAUUGGCUGUUUGUGUUGGAAGGCUGAAAGGAGUUUCAGAUUGCUCCUUAUGCGCAAGACCAGAAUAAAAGGGGAGCUGAAAAGCGGUCGGAUUCGGCGGCCGAAAGAGUUCUGAGUUCGACGGCCGAAAGCUGAUUGCGUCUUGCGUCUGAAAGGUAGUCUGGUUCGGCGGCCGAAGAAUGUCUGUAUUUGGCAGCCGAAAGUCUUCAGUUUGCGGAGCGGAUUGUGGCGAGGGAUUCGGCUUUCACAAGUCAGUAGGGUUCGGCGGCCGAAAAGUGUUCAGCGGCCGAAGAAUGUUUUCUGCCUGCGCAAUGUGUUCUUGAAGUGGCGCAUCAGACUCUGGCAUCUGGAGAUCAGCAGGGUUCGUCGACCGAAAGUAGACUGGAUUCGGCGGCCGAAUGUCUUCUGUCUGCGCAACCUCAACCUGUUGGACGCUGCAAUUGGUUUCUUUCAGUUUUGGUUCUUCCUGACUUUCAUCAUCUUCUUGGCUAGCUUCCCUGCAUGAAUCAUUGGUUAGAAUAUCAUCUUUUAUAUCAAAAUUAUCUUUGAUCAAACAAUCAAUGAUAUUUGAAUUAUCAACAAGUUCUGUUUGAUCCGUUUGUUUGGACAAACAGUAUUCUGGUUGUGUUUCUUCAGAGGCUUGUUCUUGUACUUGCCAACUUUCCUCAUCAUCCUCCACAUCUUGAAGUUCUUGCUCUCUUCUUAACAUGAGUGCAUUCAAUGAGAUGGCCAUUUGAUCCAUUUGUUGUUGCAUACUUUGCAAAGUAACUGCCAAUGUCCUCGUCUUAUCUUCAUUAAGGUGUAUAUUGGAACUUGGAGGUGCUGGUUGGGCUUGAUAUUCUUGAUAAUCCUGGUAGUUGUUAGCCUUAACAAAGCCAUAGUUCGGUUGGUCUCCCCAAUAUGGACUGUAUGUGUUAUAGUAUGGAUCAUGCCUUGGCUGUUCAUAGUAUCCUCCAAAUGUAUGUCUAGGCUGGUCAUACUCAUAACGUGUAGAACAUUGAUUAGUUGGACAUCCUACGUAUGCAUAAUUCCCACAUGGUGUUGGUAGCUGAGAUGCUUGAACCUGUUGCACUAUGUCUAUGGCAAGGUCUUUCAUAAAAGAUGUCAGAAAAGAAAAAUCAGAUCUACUUACCUUAUCCAUGAUUCAGAUCUUGGUCAUGAAAGAAAAUAAACAUACAAGUAAAAUCAAUUCCCCGGCAACGGCGCCAAUUUUUGACUCGCGGUUGUCGAAGCCGGUCAAAAAUAAUCUUCUUGGUUAUCAACAAUUUACAACUGCAGAUAGUGGUGAAGGAUCGAAUCCACAGAGAAUUGAUUACCUAUUUAUUUUUCUCAACAAGACCAAUAAAAUAAACUGAAACAAUGAGAUAAAUAAAAAAUGAGAUAAACUGAAAGCGGAAUAAAAAUAAAUUGCAGUAAAGUAAAAUGGGGGGUUUGAGAUUGAUUUGAUUAAUAAACUACUAAAAGCAAUUAAAAUAAGCGAAUAAUAAAAUAAAAGAGAAAUAAAUAAUAAGAAAGCUCUAGUUGAAGUAUUGGAUCCACUUUAGUCGUUGGGAUUGAUCACAGACACUUUGUUCUUUUGGGUUGAUUCAAUAGAUUAG
RNAcentral lists this long non-coding RNA (4596 nucleotides) under Manihot esculenta (cassava). RNAcentral's name for it is "long non-coding RNA (MESC_LNC002828)". The record is from RNAcentral. Lineage: Eukaryota; Viridiplantae; Streptophyta; Magnoliopsida; Malpighiales; Euphorbiaceae.